UACGUAGGAUCCGAGCGUUGUCCGGAUUUACUGGGUGUAAAGGGUGCGUAGGCGGCGCGGUAAGUCGGGUGUGAAAUCUCGGAGCUUAACUCCGAAACUGCAUUCGAUACUGCCGUGCUUGAGGACUGGAGAGGAGACUGGAAUUUACGGUGUAGCGGUGAAAUGCGUAGAUAUCGUAAGGAAGACCAGUGGCGAAGGCGGGUCUCUGGACAGUUCCUGACGCUGAGGCACGAAGGUCAGGGGAGCAAACGGG
This 253-nucleotide ribosomal RNA is filed under the name uncultured bacterium. Its description in RNAcentral is "partial 16S ribosomal RNA". It matches the Rfam family "Bacterial small subunit ribosomal RNA", at positions 524 to 776 of the family's 1533-position model. The record is from RNAcentral.